This is a non-coding RNA of Colinus virginianus (northern bobwhite), 289 nucleotides long. NCBI's taxonomy places the organism in Eukaryota, Metazoa, Chordata, Aves, Galliformes, Odontophoridae. The record is from Rfam.
UAGUGCUAAUGCUAUUGGUUUCACAAGAGCUCCAGUCAGGGCAUACUGAGCCCUCUCUUAGCCAUUGGAACACUCUGAUCUUUGUCAUCAAAAAAUGUUCUGGUGCUUUUUGCUUGCUUCAUUACUUGCGUGCAGUUAAUGCUCAGCUAGUCCCUUUUGGUUUGGUUCAGCAAGGUGGACCUGUCCUGUCGGCUAUACCGCAAAAAUGGCCAAUGAUAGUUAUUGAUUUAAAGGACUGUUUCUUCUCCAUUCCCCUUGCGGAGCAAGACAGAGAGGCAUUUUCUUUUAC